GUAAAUAUAUUUUAUUUAGAAUAUUUAGUUUGCAUCUAAAAGGAGAAGUCUAUUUAC
RNAcentral lists this transfer RNA (57 nucleotides) under Planorbis carinatus. RNAcentral describes it as "tRNA-Ala". Lineage: Eukaryota; Metazoa; Mollusca; Gastropoda; Planorbidae. The record is from RNAcentral.